Long non-coding RNA from Neopsephotus bourkii (Bourke's parrot), 999 nucleotides. RefSeq lists it as uncharacterized. The transcript has 2 exons. The record is from RefSeq and is a predicted model, not a curated record. NCBI's taxonomy places the organism in Eukaryota, Metazoa, Chordata, Aves, Psittaciformes, Psittacidae.
CAGCGUCACCAGCACCGGUAGUCUCAGGCUCUGCCACCGCCGGCGCCCAGCGGCUCCGCGGCUCGGUGCCGGCAGUGCAGAGCAACUUUCUUCAAGUGCAGCUGGCAGGAGGAAAGAACUUAAGCAGGCUGUGGAAUCAGGGUACCUGUCCUACCCCUGACAGCCAGGCUUCUGUACUCACUCACCAUACCCCAAAGUGAAAGGAGAAGGUGGCAGACUGUUCUGACACUGAUCAUUGGUCCUUGAGGUGCUGUUGGUGGGGAACAGACCAGUAAGGUAUAGCUGAAGCUGGCAGGUAUGUGAAAUUGCAAAGAUCUCUUUUGUUUCUCUGUACAUGUCCUGUUUAUUCCAGCAAAUGCCAAACAGGCCUACGUAUGUCAGUGCCAUUUAAUGCUUCAUUGUUAUUGUUUAAAGUAUGAUGAAUCGUGUGGGCUUAGGGUAAGAACUGACAAAGACAGCGUGGUGUAGUUGGGUGCUACCUACUUUUUUUAAUUUGUGUGGCAUUCUCUGCCUUCCCUAUGGACACUAGGGGUUUUUGUGCCCUGGUGCAGAGUGUCCCUGGUUGCAUGCGGAGAUGUCUCUUGACACAGACAGCCUGGCAGCAGGGGAGCCCUGGGAAGAGGACAGCUUCUGGUGGGCUGUGGCGCCCCAGAGUUUCUCUCUGGUCAGUCAGAACCCUCCUCUAGAGGCUGAACAUUGGUGAGUCUCUGAAAGCAUGUUAUUUCCAGAGUCCACUGCAGCAGGGAAGAAAGAUGCUUCUCGGCAGAUUUGCUAUACACCAUCUGAGGUCUGCACUUGGCUUGUGACCAUGCUUCGUGCCUGCUGCGACCACAGAGCCACUGCCACCACUAGCCCUCCAAGGCUGAGCUGAAUUAUUUUCUGACUCGGAUAUAGCCAAGAGACGCAUCAGCUACAAGAGAUUCCAGCUGCAGAAUGUGUGUGCGCUUUGUGUCUUGUUCAGAUGUUAUUUCCUUAAUAAAAUUGCUCAUUUGGCGUGAA